UAGGGAAUAUUGGACAAUGGGCGAGAGCCUGAUCCAGCCAUGCCGCGUGCAGGAAGAAGGCCUUCUGGGUUGUAAACUGCUUUUCUCUGGGGAUAAAAGGCCCAUGCGUGGGACAUUGAAGGUACCAGAGGAAUAAGCCACGGCUAACUACGUGCCAGCAGCCGCGGUAAUACGUAGGUGGCAAGCGUUGUCCGGAUUUAUUGGGUUUAAAGGGUGCGUAGGCGGUUCAAUAAGUCAGUGGUGAAAUACGGCAGCUCAACUGUCGAGGUGCCAUUGAUACUGUUGGACUUGAGUACAGACGAGGUAGGCGGAAUUGACGGUGUAGCGGUGAAAUGCUUAGAUAUCGUCAAGAACACCGAUAGCGAAGGCAGCUUACUAGGCUGUAACUGACGCUGAGGCACGAAAGUGUGGGGAUCAAACAGGAUUAGAUACCCCCGUAGUCC
Molecule: ribosomal RNA, 443 nt
Filed under: uncultured bacterium
Lineage: Bacteria
Description: bacterial SSU rRNA
Rfam family: Bacterial small subunit ribosomal RNA
Source: RNAcentral